CCACGAGCGCGAGAAGUCGAAGGUAGGAGCAGAAAGCGGUGUUAGUGUUAGUUCUGGCUCGUUUGGACCCAAACUAAAGUGUAUCAGUAUGAAGCAGGCGGUGACGGCGCACUGAUUCACUCUCGGAGCUCGGUUCACUAAUGACCGAAUCACCGAGGAACCGACCAAAGAUAACUCACACCCGCACGGAGAAGAAGAACAAGAGGAGGAGAAGAUGAACUGGAGUGGGGCAAAGAGAACUGCAUUCAGAUCAAACGGAUACAAGAGGUGGCGAUUGCAGGCACAUUUUAUCCGAACUGCUUCCUCCAGGGAACUCUAUGGAAACGACCCCAGGACCACCAUAGUGGUAUUCAGUGUGUAAUCUCCCUCCAUUUGCAUUCCUCUACUAUAAACAGCUCCAGUCUCUCUUCAGACACUGUGGUUAAAUCAAAUCCAUCUCCUUUGACAGCUCCAGGGCCUAUGUAGAGUUCUAUCGCUCGUCAAUGAGAGGUUCUGGCGUUCUCCCAGAGGUCUCUCUGUCUCUCCUUCUCACGCAGAAGAGACUUCUCCAUCUCAACGUUUAACCCGCUGGAGAGGUGGAGACUUGGGCAGGGGGGUAGUGUAUCUCACACCUCAGAUAUACACGGGUGAAUGUGGAUUUUCAGAAUCAGUCAGUGAGCCCUGUCGGGGUUCUGAGCAGCUCCAUUGAGUUGGAGAAUCUUCCGUCUAACCCUGUCUUUAUCGUCAAUAUCACCGAGGUGUCUGUUCCGCCUCUUUCACUUUCAGUGCACAAAUAAAAAAGAAGCAGUGGCUCCUGUGUGUGUGUGUGUGUGUGUGUGUGUGUGUGUGUGUGUGUGUGUGUGUGUGUGUGUGUGCACUAACAGGAGGUCCAGGUGCAGCCUUUGGAUAUUGAUGAAGAUUUACUGCCCCUGCAAGACCUUCCUCAACUGCGUAGUCUGGAGCAAAGGAUGCAACAGAGCCCAGAUUACAAGCAAAAUCUGGUAAACUGGUUGGCGCUUAUUGACGGGGUGUAUGUGCGUGACUGCACCUGGCGCAUAUUGAAGAGGGUGAUUGCUAACUCCCUGGCAAAGAAUCUCAAUUGGAGGGGAGUCAAUGGAAAGACUUCACUGUCCGCUCUCCAACUCGGAGACUUCGUGAUUGCUGCAGUUCAUAGAAACCUCCUCACGGCUAAAGCUGCAGAGAUGGAGGUCGAGGGGACCAUGAAGAGGCGGCUCCAGCUGGCAUCAGAGCGAGAGUGGCCUAAACAUGGCUGAAAACUCCCAAAACUCGGUAGACGCGCCAGCACCAGUGAAAAUGUAACUUACAUUGGGCAUGGGCAUGGUCGAGGAGCUCCUUAGCACCCCUGAAGGCAGGCAAUGGUCGGGAUGAAGUUGCUCCGAUGUGCACGAUUUACUAUAUAUAUAUAUAUAUAUAUAUAUAUAUAUAUAUAUAUAUAUAUAUAUAUAUAUAUAUAUAUAUAAUUAGAUAGAUAUGGGGUAAUAAAGUGUAAAAUAUAGAUAAUUCACAAUAAUUUAAUAUCAGAUAUCAGUUAGAUUCAGCUUCGGACACAAGUUCCAGGUACUGAUCGAGAAGGAGUGGAUCAGCUUCGGACACAAGCUGACCUCGCGUGUCGGCCUUGGAGAUGAGAAUCACGCCAACUCGGAACGAUCCCCUCUCUUUGUGCAGUUCAUCGACUGUGUGUGGCAGAUGAUGAGACAGGUGAAACCCAGGGCUCAAACCAAGAGAAGGCAUUCAGAGCUAUUCAUUCUUUAAAGUCCAUUUAACGAGGUACACCAGGGCAGCGAGAAAAAAACAUCAGUCACUCGUUCCAGUAUUUUUGAACAGUUAAUGAAUAGGAUGGCUUCAAAAAAGCUGCCAUAUUUUAAGCUGUGUAACACGUCUAGAUGUAAAUAUGAGGAAAUGAAAGCUGAAAUUCUGAUCUAUCGUCUCAUAUUCGUCUUUUAUCUCAAACCCAAAUGUCUUCAGUAUACAGCAAAAGCAAGUGAAUUGGCCUUGAUGUUCCAAUACUUUUGAAGAGGACUCUAAUUGUAAGAAUUAAAUAUAAUUUCCGUACUGAACAAAAGACUGAUUAUCUGUUCAGGCACUAUUGUGCAGAUCCGCAUUUAAGCAUCUUACUAUACACUGAGUUCAAAGAGCUUUUUCUCAUCCCCAUCCUGGAUCGCCCCUACAGCUGCCUGUUUGGUACAUUCCUCUACAGCAGUGAGCAGGAGAGAAUGGAAAAGGAAGUACAGGGUAAAACAGUCACUGUGGUCCUACGUUAACAGUCAGCCGGAGGACUUCACUAACCCGUUCUAUGUGGACUGUAAAAACCAGGUGCUGUAUCCACUGGCCAGUCUCACACAUCUGGAGCUCUGGGUGGGUUAUUAUGUGCGUUGGAACCCACGCAUGAGACCACAGAUGCCGCUCCAUCAGAAUCUGAGAGAGUUAUUGUUUUUGCGUGAAGAACGUGGAGGAGCUCCAGAGAGAGGCCACGUCAUCCUGCUCCAUCUCCUCAUCCUCAGAGCAUACUUCUCCCUCCUCACAUAGUGGUACACCACUUCACACUGCCGUCUAAAUACACACGCGCACACACACACACACAUACAUUUAAGAGCACACACUGUCUUUACUCAAUGAAUACACUCAGGCACAAGUAGGGAGUGGAUGAGUAUGAAGCGGGCACACACACACACACACACACACACACACACACACACACACACAUUCCUGUUUGCAAUUUUUUUAACUAUAGAGAAGUAACCUAGUGUCACAUUUUAUAAAUCCUUAAUACUUAAAAAUGGAUCUUGGAUCAAUGAGGUUUUCUACUGUUCUCAAGGAUUGGCAUGCUGUGCAUCCUGAGAUGCUUUUCUGCUCACCAUGUAUGUAAAGAGAGCUUAUUUGAUGUUACCAUGGCCGUCCUAUUAACUUGACCCAGUCUGGCCAUUCUCCUUUCGUCAACAAGGUGUUUCCACCCCGAGAACUGCCACUUACCGGAUGUUUUUCACACAAGUGUGUGUGUGUGUGUGUGGAAAUCCUAGGAGAGCCGCAGUUUCUGGAAUACUCAAACCAGACCAUUUAGAAUCUACAACCAUUCCACGGAUAAAAUCACUGGAUUACAUUCUGGUGUUUGAUGUGAAUAUUGACUGAAGCUCUUCAUCUGAUCCUGCUUGAUAUUGUACACUGUGGUGUUGCCAUAUGAUUGGCUGAUUGGAUAAUUGUAUGAAUGAGCACAUGUACAAGUGAUCAGUGAGCACAUCUAUCUACCAUAGAGGUAUUUUGGGGCAAUACUUGACAAUGUACCUGACUGUUAGAUUUGUGGCCAAGUUGAAGAAGCUUUUGACAUCCCAAUGGAAAAUAAUAAAUAAAACAAUCCAGGACAAAUUCACUUUCAGUAUUUUAUUUUUACAUUGUUUUUUUCCCCCUUAAUGUUAAUCUCUUUCUACAGAACCGGUCCAAACUUCAUAUGUCAAUGUAGUAAGCAAGAUAAACUGUCUACAGAUAAAGAAUCUAAGCAUGCAUCUGUUUUCACCCUUAUAGAAAAAGUUUAGCAGUUCCUAUCCAAAAGACACCAAGAGCCCAGAUGUCCUUAGAAACUAAAUGUAACCUCCAACUCGUGGCCUUUUCAGAAACUCGAUUCCCAGACGUCGCCACACUGAUCACAGUGCAUCCUUCAAAUCCACCGUGCAGCGGAAAUGGACCAGUCGAUUUAAACGGAUUGUUGAAAAUGUACGUUGUUCAAGGCAUUUGUGGAUUUGAAAUUUCGCUACAAACCGAGUCUGAACAGUCGCCAGAAUCUGAGGCAAAAACACACGAAGGAACGAGAUCACGUCGUCAUUGCCUCAUCUCUGGUG
Long non-coding RNA from Ictalurus punctatus (channel catfish), 3830 nucleotides. RefSeq lists it as uncharacterized. The transcript has 14 exons. Lineage: Eukaryota; Metazoa; Chordata; Actinopteri; Siluriformes; Ictaluridae. The record is from RefSeq and is a predicted model, not a curated record.